GAGGGAAUGUGGGGAUGCUGGAAAAGGCCUUGAUGAGAGUCCUGGGGAUGGAGCCCUGGCCGUGGCACUUAGCAGCCAUGAGAACUUGGUGAGAUGCAAAUAUGCGUUUUGAGCUGUUGGCUGGUUGCAGUUGACAGAUGGGAGGCUGAAGAAAUGAGGAAGUACAUCGUGGAGCUGGCGGCUCUGCAGGCAGGAGGGGUGAGUGGACACCCUAGAAAAAUGGGGCCAACAGCUGGGCGAGAUGGAAAGAAGAUUGGGCUCCAGGAAGAGGACUGGGAGAAGGGCCUGCCCCAGAGGUCCGUGACUCAGAGAAACUUGCCCUUUGUUGAUUCUCAUUGUGCUCCCAUCAAACUAUCAAAGAUGUUGAAGGACAGAGACCUGAACUCUGCCACUGGGCUCAGGAGGACACCACAGACACUGACUUGGCUUAUCAUUUUGUUUAGCGCCUUGAAAGGAGGUUGGUGAUGUAGAAGGUUGGAUGAUCCUUUGAGGAGAAAAAGAGCUGGAAAGCAAGAAACGUCAGAAAACACUCAGACGGGGAGGGGAUCAGUUGCAAGAGUAAAGUGGCCACGACGUGGAAGAACAGGAGACAGGAGGAAGGAGAGCUUGGUGCCUGCCGUGCACCCACAGUUUUCGGUGGACACAUCUUUAUUUUAUGUGGUGUUGAGGAUCGAACCCAGCGCCCCACGCAUGCCAGGUGAGCGCGUUACUGCUUGAGCCACAUCCUCAGCCCCAGAAUCCCGUUUUUAAAUGCACUUCAGAGGAUGGUGCUGUCCUCAGGUUGAGGACGGACUUUAAGAGCCUCUAGACCCAGGUGGGGAAUCUUGGUUCCCCUCUGCUGUGGUUUGGAUGUCAUCUGAGCUGUUUCCCAUCGGUCACAGGCUGGAGGCUUGGUCCCCGGUGUACUGGCAAUGGGCCAUGGGACCUUUACGACACCAUUAGACCUGGAGGGCACCAUCCCUGCAGGGACUCACGUGGUUCUUGUGUUCUUGUGGGAGCAGGUUAGUUCCUGUGAGAGUCGCCCCACCCCCACCCCCUCCCCGGCGCUCUUGUUUCUUCUCUCCCCAUGUGAAUUCCUCUUCUUUUACUUCCUGCACAUCCAUGAUGCCAUCUGCCACGUCAAGACACAGCCCCGGGAUCCUCUUCAGAGGCCACCAGAUGUGGCUGCCAAUCUUGGACUUUUAGCCUCCAACUGUGAGCUAAAAAACAAAACAAAAACCUUCUUUUCUUUAUAAGUCACCUGGCCUCAGAUAUUUUGUUGGUAUAGCAACAUGAAAUGAACUAAUCUCUCUAGGGGUCGGUUUAUGAAUGGGCAUGUGACACAGUUUUGGCCAAUGAGAUGAGAGGGGAAAUCUAAAAAGGGUCUAAUGGGAAAUUUUCCUUAGCUUUUGAAAGGCCAGGGGUGUGUUCCUUUUAUUUAUUUAUUUAUUUAUUUUAGAUUCUACUGUGCAUGUGUGAGGGCAAUGUCUGGAACUAUGGCAACCUGGUAGGGACCAUGAGAGGAGCCUACUCAAAAGGAGAAGCUAACACACUAAGGGUGGAUCCCAGCCAGGUCUGGUGGUGCACAACUGCAAUCUCAGCAACUGAGGAGGCUGAGGCAGGAGGAUCUCAAGUUUGAGGCCAGUGAGACUCUAUUUUAAAGUUAAAAAAAAUAAGAAGAGCUGGGGAUGUAGCUCAGUAGUAAUGUGCUCCCAGGUUCAAUCCACCCCCCCAUGCCAAAAAUUAUGGGUUCUUGGCUUUGGAGCUUGGCUUUCAUAUCAACCAACUCUGGAAGUAUUUCCCUUUUGAAUUUAUUAACUUAUUAACCAGAGAGAGGGAGAGGGAGGGUGUUUCAGUCAACCUUUUUGCUGCUGUGACUGAAACACCUAACAAGAACAACUUUAGAGGAAGAAAAGCUUAUCUAUGGGCUCAUGGUUUCAGAGAUCUAAGUCCACAGACAGCUGGCUCUAUUCCCUGGGGCUCGAGGUGAGGCUGAACAUCAUGGUAGAAAAGUAUGGAGAAGGGAGUAGUUCACAUGACGAUCAGAAAGCAGAAAGAGACUCCAUUCUCCAGAUACAAAAUGUAUGCCUCAGUGAUCCAUCUCCUCCAGCGACGCCUUACCCACCUUCCGUUACCACUUGGUUAAUCCCAUGAGGGAUCAGUUCACUGAUUAGGUCAAGGCUAUAAUCCAAUCAUUUCUUCUCUUGCAUUGUCUCACACAUGAGCUUUUCGGGGACACCUCACAUCCAAACCAUAACAGAGGGAGGGAGAGGGAGAGACAGAGAAAGAGAGAGAGAGAAGGAAAGAAAGAACAAGAGACUGGGCUAAGAGAUACACAAGGUGAGCCUGCAGCAUCUUGUGGUGCCAGAAACCAAAGAAGUGCUUAAAAAAACCCACAAAAACAACAACAAGUAAAUCCCCACGAUGGUGUGGGUGCGUCAGAGGGAUACAGGAAUCUGUGGGAAGAGCACCUAAAAGCCAAAACUAGAAUAGUUUGAGCAGCAAAAUUAUUGAGGAGAUGGUAUUGGACAGGUGAGAUUCAAGAUGGCAGAUCAGAGGCAACCAGCCCUGAGAUAGAACCAAAGAAACAGGUGUUAGCUGUCUGUGAGGAGCACUGGGAUUAACAGGAGGAAGAAAGUGACCUGGAGAAACCCAGGGAUUUGGAGUCAUGGGGUAGUGGAAGGACUGACUGCAGGCCUCAUGGCUGGGGAGGGAGAAUCUCAUCUGGUGCAGUGUGGGUGAAGAGGGGGGGUCCCAGCGAGCCUCCCCAGCGUGGGAUUCAGUACCUGGUGGACAUGCCGUCUAAACAGCCCAGACGCAUGGGAACUGCAAAGUGAACUGGCUCAGGGACCUUUCUCUGUCCAUUCUAGUACCUUCUCCCAGAGCCAUGGCAGGCAGUGGUGUUGACUAGUGUCCUGUGGCCUGAGCCCUCUCCUCUGGGGGGUGAGGAACCCUUGCAUUUUCCUGUCUCAGACUCUGCAGAAGUUUCACUGCAAUGGCUUAGUGGGUGGCCACCUGGUGAGUCCGUGACACCUUGGCAAUCCUGCUGGGGUUCUCUGUGAUGGGAAGCUGGACUGUGAAGGAGAAGGGAGCAGAAGGCACUUCCCUUUAAAAUCAGACGUCCAGGAAACCAGCUGUCCGAGUCUGCGGGAGUGAACAAUGGCAUGGGACUUCGCAGUGGGAGCCGAGUCUGGGAACACCAGGGCUGUGGGAGGAGAUUGCUCAGGACUCGAUGCCCCCCGCACCCACCCCCAUCUCCCAGCACAGAUCUCUGGGGCUCCAUCCCUCUCUUCACUCCUGGGAGUGACCUAGGCCCCACAGAGCUAGCACUUGCCCUGUACUUGGAAUGCACAGCCCACAAAGAUAGGGAGGAAAUCUUUGCUCGGCAUUCUGCACCUUGUUCUAAGGCACAAUCAACAGGAAUCCCAGCUAGCUUCAGCCACAGAUCACUCUAGCUCGUCACUUGGUGAGCACCACAUUGUAAAGAAUCAGGGUGAAUAGCCCCUAGCCUCUGCUCUCUGUGGGGUGCACAGCCUGAGAAAUCGGGAGAGAGGUUUUAAUUGCUCUGGGCUGUGAUCAUCCACUCUCCUUUCCAUCAUUUGGGUGUCCUGAUAGAGAGAACAUUUUUAUUUUUUUUUAUUUAUACAGUUUUAUUGUUGUUGCUUUCUAUUUUUUUCCUCUUUUUAGUCUUUCAUUUUCUUUUCUUUGUUCCCCCUCCCCUCAUUUGGCUUCUUUCCCUCCUCCUCCUCCUCCUCCUCCUCCUCCUCCUCCUUUUCUUCUUCUUUUUGAUGGGGGGCGUACUGGGGAUUGAACUCAGGGGCACUUGACCACUGAGCACAUCCCCAGCCCUAUUUUGUAUUUUAUUUAGAGACAGGGUCUCACUGAGUUGCUUAGGGCCCUGUUUUUGCUGAGCUGUGUUGAACUCUCGAUCCUCUUGACUCAGCCUCCACAGCUGAUGGGAUUACAGGCAUGCUGGCUUUUUUGUUUUCAUUUUAAAUUUUUAAGUCUUUUUAUAUUGUUCUUUCUUCUCCCUUUCUCUCUCCUCUCUCUCCCUCCACGGUGCUGGGGAUUGAGCCUGACCGCGUGCACUUUGGGCAGGUGCUCGGCACUGAUCUACAUUCCCAGCCCAGCCAAGAGGACCUGCGCCUGGCUUCAGUCCCUCUGGAACCUCUGUGGAUACCUCAACUUAAAAAAUAGGGGAAACAAAAGCCACCAGUCAAAGACCUAUUCCCAGAUGGAAACCGCCAGGGAGCUCGGUCACCCACUCCUGGACAGUCAUUCUCCCAGUGACAGCAAAGAGCAAUGACACAGGUGCUGUGAAAACUGCCUGGGCCACGCCCACACACUGUCAGAUCACCUGUCAAUGACAAGAUGAGGCGUGAGCACUACACAGGGGGAGUGGUGAUCCCGGCCCCCACCUCACCACCCGAAGCACCAGGAACGGUGUCAGUGUCAAAACAGACAACAGCACUUCUGGCCCCUUACCACCAGCCGGACAGUCAGUGUCAGAAUUGUUUUCAAGUAACGGCCAAUACCAACAGGGCCUGUGGAAAGUCCCCAUCCCUGGACAGGGGCUUCCACUCCCAUUGUGGACAGCACCCCACAUACUCUACUGUCCACAGCACAUCUCCUUCCAUUACUGAAACGACUCCACUCUUAGAAAACCACAGAGAAGGUGGGUCACUCAGGUUCUGAGAUGGUUUACAUUAUGUCAAACUCACAAAUCUCAGCCACAGGGGGAUUCCUCUAUGAAGUCCGAUUGGAACUGAACUCAGUACUACACCACAAACUGGCACCUCAAGACCUGUCAUCAGGAGAAGUUUGCUUGUGUGAGGCCUCACACAAAAGUUGAAGAGAUAGCCGUCUCAGCAGGUGCUCCAAUCUCAACACAGAGGCACAAGGAACAUGAAAAAACAAUGCAGUUUGACACCUUCCAAAAGUUCAUAAUUCUGCAGUAAGAGAACCCAAAGAUAUGGGACAGGAUGAAAUGCUGAAUAAAUAGCUCAUGAAGGGUGGUUUUUAAAAAAAAAGCUCGAUGAAUUCCAAGAGAAUACAUAUAAACAUGUAUUAAGAAAGACAAUUCAAGAUAUGAAUGAGAAAUCCAGUAAGUCCAAUAAGAGAUAGACAAUUUGAAAAAGAAUCAGACAAAUGUCUCGGAAAUGAAAAGUUCAGUAAGACAGAUUUAAAAACUCAGUUGAAAUUCUCACCAUCAGACUAGCUCAAGUAGAAGAAAAAUAUCAUAGUUUGAAGACAACUCUGAUGAAAUAUUACAUUUAGCCAGAAAAAAAAGGAUGAACAGAGUAUAUGAGAUUUUGGACAUCAUUAAAAGAUGAAGCAUACAUAUUAUUGAGAUGCCUGGGGAGACCUCUAGGCUGAAGGCAUAGAAAACCUAUUCAAUGAAAUAAUAGCAGAAAAUUUCCUGAAUCUUGGGAAAGUCAUGGACAUUUAAGUACAGGAAGUGUUAAGAAUUCUAAAUAGACAUGAAUAGAAAAGAAACUCUCUAUGACAUAUUAUAGUUAAAUUGCCAAUAUUAAAGUACAAAGAAAGAAUAUUAAAAACCGCAAUACAGAAAUGCAAAGUCACCUUUAAGACAAAUCCAUUAGACUAAAAACAUAUUUCUAAGCAGAAAUCGUAAAGGCCAGGAGGAUGUGGAACAAUGUAGUUCAAGUCUUGAAAGAAAAUAACUGCCAAACAAGAUUGCUAUACCCAUAACUUUCAGAAUCAAAUAAGAAAUAAAGACCUUCAAGGUAAGCAUAAACUAAGGGAAUUCAUGACUACAACAGCAUCAAGAAGAUAUUUAAGGGACUGUUACCCCAGAAGACAAAGAAAGAUAAAUACAAGAGAGGCACAUGAAAGAAUAAAUCUUACUGGAAGAGAAGACAUACAAAUAAAUAGGAAAAAAUUAAACAUUAUCAAUACAGUAAACCAUCAAACUUCUAUGCUGAGUAAGAGAGUAAGAAAUGAACAUAGAAUAUUCAAAACAACCAGAAGAAAAUCAACAAAAUGACAGGAACAAAUAAAAAUAACAACUCACAUUAACAGAAUCCAUAUUAACAGAAUAGAUAAAAAAGAAAUUUUAAAAAGGAGACCAUAUAAUCAUGUCAAUAGAUACAGAACAAGCAUAUUGCAAAAUUCAACUUCCAAAUUUCUAACAGAAACUCUCAGCAGCCCAGAAAUAGAAGAAAAUUCUACCAACCUGAUGAAGGGCAUCUAUGGAACCCAUAACUGACAUCUUAUAUAUUGAGGAACGUAGAACGCUUGACUCUGAAUAUCUGGUACACAAUAAGGGUUCAUGCCAUUCUAUCAAACAUUAUACUGGAGUUUCUAGCCAGAAAAAUAAUGCAGGAAAGAAAGAAAUCUCAUCUACAUUAUUCAGUAAGAAGUAAAUCUGACUUUAUUUGCAGAUGACAUGUCAUCUGAAUAAAAUUCUAUGGAAUCUAUAGGAAAGAUUCUGAAACCAAUGAAUGAGGUUAACAUGGUUGCAGGAUAUAAGAUUAAUAUACAAAAGCUAAUAGCAUUUCCACAUAUUAUCUACAAACAGAUAUUGAAAACUUUAGAAUAUACAAUUUACAAUAUUGAAUUUGGAAGAUACAAUUAUACAACUUUGGAAUAUACAAUUUACAACACUUGAAGUUGUAAAAAACCUGACACUGAAAACCAUAUAACAUUGCCCAAAUAGAUUAGAGACCUAAAUAAAUAGGGAGAUAUAUCAUGUUUAUGGGUUGAAAGACUUAAUGUUGUUAGGAUGUUAAUUAUCUCCAAAUUAAUCUACAGUUAUAAUGCAAUUUCAAUCAAAAUCACAGCAGGAUUCUUUUGGGAUAGAAACUACUAAACUUUUAAUUUCUAAAAUUCAUAUGCAGGGGCUGGGGAUGUGGCUCAAGCGGUAGCGCGCUCGCCCGGCAUGCGUGCGGCCCGGGUUCGAUCCUCAGCACCACAUACCAACAAAGAUGUUGUGUCCGCCGAGAAUUGAAAAAUAAAUAUUAAAAAAAAAAUUCUUAAAAAAAAAAAUAAAAUAAAAUUCAUAUGCAAAUGCAAAGAACCCAGAAUGACUUUGAAAAAUAAGAGGGAAGCUGGAGAACUUAUACCAACUGACUUCAAACUGAUUACAAAGUUACAGUAACCAAGACACAUUGUAGCAGUCCUACACAGACAGAUAAAUAGACUGGAAAGUCCAGAAAUAGGUCACUUAUAUAUAGACAGCUGAUAUUUGACAAAGGUACAAAGGCAAUUCAGUGAAGAAAAGAUAAGUUUUCUUCAUAGAUGGUGCUGGAAUAAUUGUACACCCACAUGCAAAAAUAUUAACUCUAAUCAACACCUUAUAUCAUGUACAAAAAUAACUGAAUGGAUCGCAGACCUAAAUGUAAAGUUAUAAACUUUCAGAAUAAAACAUAAGAGAAAAUUUGUAGUA
This is a long non-coding RNA of Marmota monax (woodchuck), 7387 nucleotides long. RefSeq lists it as uncharacterized. NCBI's taxonomy places the organism in Eukaryota, Metazoa, Chordata, Mammalia, Rodentia, Sciuridae. The transcript is spliced from 4 exons. The record is from RefSeq and is a predicted model, not a curated record.